Molecule: ribosomal RNA, 440 nt
Filed under: uncultured bacterium
Lineage: Bacteria
Description: bacterial SSU rRNA
Rfam family: Bacterial small subunit ribosomal RNA
Source: RNAcentral
GCAUAACGCGAAGAACCUUACCAGGUCUUGACAUCCUAGAAACUUUCCAGAGAUGGAUUGGUGCCUUCGGGAAUCUAGAGACAGGUGCUGCAUGGCUGUCGUCAGCUCGUGUCGUGAGAUGUUGGGUUAAGUCCCGUAACGAGCGCAACCCUUGUCCUUAGUUGCCAGCGCGUAAUGGCGGGAACUCUAAGGAGACCGCCGGUGACAAACCGGAGGAAGGUGGGGGUGACGUCAAGUCAUCAUGGCCUUUAUGACCAGGGCUACACACGUGCUACAAUGGCAGGUACAGAGGGAAGCCAACCAGCAAUGGGGAGCCAAUCCCAGAAAGCCUGUCUUAGUCCGGAUUGGAGUCUGCAACUCGACUCCAUGAAACUGGAAUCGCUAGUAAUCGCAGAUCAGCAUUGCUGCGGUGAAUACGUUCCCGGGUCUUGUACACACCG